RNAcentral lists this ribosomal RNA (505 nucleotides) under uncultured bacterium. Its description in RNAcentral is "partial 16S ribosomal RNA". It matches the Rfam family "Bacterial small subunit ribosomal RNA", at positions 28 to 507 of the family's 1533-position model. The record is from RNAcentral.
GACGAACGCUGGCGGCGUGCCUAAUACAUGCAAGUCGAACGCACAGUUUAUACCGUAGCUUGCUACACCAUAGACUGUGAGUUGCGAACGGGUGAGUAACGCGUAGGUAACCUGCCUGGUAGCGGGGGAUAACUAUUGGAAACGAUAGCUAAUACCGCAUAAUAUUAAUUAUUGCAUGAUAAUUAAUUGAAAGGUGCAAUUGCACCACUACCAGAUGGACCUGCGUUGUAUUAGCUAGUAGGUGAGGUGACGGCUCACCUAGGCGACGAUACAUAGCCGACCUGAGAGGGUGAUCGGCCACACUGGGACUGAGACACGGCCCAGACUCCUACGGGAGGCAGCAGUAGGGAAUCUUCGGCAAUGGACGAAAGUCUGACCGAGCAACGCCGCGUGAGUGAAGAAGGUUUUCGGAUCGUAAAGCUCUGUUGUAAGAGAAGAACGGGUGUGAGAGUGGAAAGUUCACACUGUGACGGUAUCUUACCAGAAAGGGACGGCUAACUACGUG